GACGAACGCUGGCGGCGUGCCUAAUACAUGCAAGUCGAACGCUCUUUCUUUCGCCGGAGCUUGCUCCACCGAAAGAAAAAGAGUGGCGAACGGGUGAGUAACACGUGGGUAACCUGCCCAUCAGAAGGGGAUAACACUUGGAAACAGGUGCUAAUACCGUAUAACACUAUUUUCCGCAUGGAAGAAAGUUGAAAGGCGCUUUUGCGUCACUGAUGGAUGGACCCGCGGUGCAUUAGCUAGUUGGUGAGGUAACGGCUCACCAAGGAAACGAUGCAUAGCCGACCUGAGAGGGGGAUCGGCCACACUGGGACUGAGACACGGCCCAGACUCCUACGGGAGGCAGCAGUAGGGAAUCUUCGGCAAUGGACGAAAGUCUGACCGAGCAACGCCGCGUGAGUGAAGAAGGUUUUCGGAUCGUAAAACUCUGUUGUUAGAGAAGAACAAGGAUGAGAGUAAAAUGCUCAUCCCUUGACGGUAUCUAACCAGAAAGCCACGGCUAACUACGUGCCAGCAGCCGCCGUAA
This 523-nucleotide ribosomal RNA is filed under the name uncultured bacterium. Its description in RNAcentral is "partial 16S ribosomal RNA". It matches the Rfam family "Bacterial small subunit ribosomal RNA", at positions 28 to 523 of the family's 1533-position model. The record is from RNAcentral.